AAGACCUUGCGCUUUUGGAGCGGCCGAUGCCUGAUUAGCUUGUUGGUAAGGUAAAAGCUUACCAAGGCUUCGAUCAGUAGCUGGUCUGAGAGGACGACCAGCCACACUGGGACUGAGACACGGCCCAGACUCCUACGGGAGGCAGCAGUGGGGAAUUUUGGACAAUGGGGGCAACCCUGAUCCAGCCAUGCCGCGUGAGUGGAGAAGGCCUUCGGGUUGUAAAGCUCUUUCAGCCGGAACGAAACGGUUACGGUUAAUACCCGUGAUUACUGACGGUACCGGAAGAAGAAGCACCGGCUAACUACGUGCCAGCAGCCGCGGUAAUACGUAGGGCGCGAGCGUUAAUCGGAAUUACUGGGCGUAAAGCGUGCGCAGGUGGUUUUGUAAGUCAGAUGUGAAAUCCCCGGGCUUAACCUGGGAACU
RNAcentral lists this ribosomal RNA (423 nucleotides) under uncultured bacterium. RNAcentral's name for it is "bacterial SSU rRNA". It matches the Rfam family "Bacterial small subunit ribosomal RNA", at positions 207 to 622 of the family's 1533-position model. The record is from RNAcentral.